AGGUCACUUCAAAAAGGGCUUGUGGGACCAAAACCAGGAGCUCUUAAAUGCUGCAACCAAAGACUGAAGUUCUCCAAAGGUUGUGAUCACUCAAUUGUGCUGUGUUUUCCUGAGGAGAUAGAAGC
This is a small nucleolar RNA of Balaenoptera musculus (blue whale), 125 nucleotides long. The record is from Ensembl. NCBI's taxonomy places the organism in Eukaryota, Metazoa, Chordata, Mammalia, Artiodactyla, Balaenopteridae.